This is a long non-coding RNA of Melitaea cinxia (Glanville fritillary), 1046 nucleotides long. RefSeq lists it as uncharacterized. The transcript has 2 exons. The record is from RefSeq and is a predicted model, not a curated record. Lineage: Eukaryota; Metazoa; Arthropoda; Insecta; Lepidoptera; Nymphalidae.
AUUAAAUGAUAAUGUUUAUUUCGCCAUAAAGUGAUACACACACUUAACGAAUAUCGAAAAAAAAAAAAUACAUUUGAAAUCAAUAUGUCAUGGUAGCAAAAUGACAAUACAAAAAUGGCUACUUUUUAACAUUAAGCACAUCACAAUCUUUAGUAAUGUACCCGAUACUAUCCAGCUACCGCUAGUUACUACUAGUUAACCUCUAGAAAUCAUUGAAAGCUCUCUAGUAUCUCGGACAGACAUCAGUCCCUAGUGUUAGCCGAGAGGGAAAAAAGUCGAAGAAAAAAGUUCUUGGUACUCUUUUAAAAAAAUUAACGUCAAUAUACCAAAAAAAAAUGCGCAGUAUGAUCAUAUGAGUAAGAUAAUUCAAAUAUAAAACUAAUAUAUAAAUAUUUUUAAUAAUAAAAUAUGAAUUUAAUUUUUUUUUUUACUAACCGUACUUUUCAAGUAUAUAUUUCGAGUUCGAGGUCAUGACGUUCCUAUUCUUAGUUUGACUACUUUAUAAAUAAGUCUAUUUUUAAAAGAUACAUAAAAUUGAUAAAUUUUCAAUGAUAAAAACAUAUUUUCAAAAGUCUUUAAACGUUAUAUUAUGUAAAUAAAUUUGUGGUCAAGAAAAUAGUAUAGUUGAAUUGUUUAGAAGAAUAAUCUUAAACAAAAUUUAAGUGAAUAUAAAACAUAUAUGUACAUAAAAAUAUGUAAUCUAAAACAUUAUGUUUAAAAAACGUCUCAAUGAAAUAUAAAUCAUAAUGAAAUAUAUCAAACUCGGUUCCUAAUUACAGAAAACCAUUCGUUUUGUUCAAUGACGAUCAUUCGAAUUUGUUGGUAGCAAAACGAACCGUUAUUCAAUAUAGGAACUUGUUUUUAAACAUAUAUCUAUAAAAGUCGUUAUAAUAUUUUCCCAUAUCUGUAAUAUAAUUUAACAAGACAUUAAUAUUAGUAGAGAAUUAUUUUCGUUCCUUUAAUACGGGUUUUCGGUUUGUAAACGGUGGGUAACCGUUAAAAUGUCAUAUUAAAUAAAUUGACAAUAAUAUUGUUUUAUAUGUAAA